RNA transcript from Gossypium arboreum, 2060 nucleotides. It is a transcript of the gene named bifunctional UDP-glucose 4-epimerase and UDP-xylose 4-epimerase 1-like, with no coding region annotated. NCBI's taxonomy places the organism in Eukaryota, Viridiplantae, Streptophyta, Magnoliopsida, Malvales, Malvaceae. The record is from RefSeq and is a predicted model, not a curated record. The transcript has 7 exons.
UUAGGGUCCGUUUGGAAGCCAGGAAAAUAUUUUCCUAGUUUUACGGUGUUUGGAAGCUUGAAAACAUUUUUCCAAAGGGAAAAUGUUUUACUAGACACGGGUAAAAUGACCUUCAAGUUGGGAAAAAUGUCUUACUGAUUUCAUUUCAGUAAGACAUUUUCCAUUUCCUCUUCAUCCAGGCAAAUUUUACACGCUGCUAUUUCGUUUCCUAUCUUCCCAUCUUUCUCAGGAUCUCAUUCCUCUUCGCAAGGAACUGAUAUCAGUCGACUGAUAUCACUGGUGUCAAGAAGCAAGGCUUCCCUUGCCUUAGAGGAAUUAGGACGUUGAAAUGCUUGUCAUUCUGCUCUGCUAAAUUAGUUGCGACUCUCAUUUCUUGUUUAAAGGUGGGGUUAGUGGAUUUUCUUGUAUAAAUUUUUUUUUUUUGCAAUAUAUAUCAGAAUUCUCUGCUGUUAAUUUUUUUACGUCCAAUACAAUCACUCUUUGACAUGGAUAUAGUUCAUUGCCUGUUUUCAACAAAGUGUUUCCUAACUGCCUGCCUAUCUGUCUCUUGUUUUGGCUAAUUAAUAUUUCUCAUAAUACCCAUUGCUGUCAUUGCAGAGUAUUUUUAUUUCUCAUAAUAUGUAAAGAGAUGAUAGCAAUGCCUUUUGGCUACCUUUUUAUUCUCAUGACCAUUCAUCUUGGUCAAUUACAUAAAUAAAGAAAGUUGUCUAUCACCACAUUCCGUUUCAUAAUGAAUCAACCUUUUUUUUUUUAAAAAAAAGAAAAGAAAAGAAGGAAGCAUGGAAUGGGUGAUAAAGGCAGAAGCUUUACAACUCAAAGAUGAUGAUGACAUAGAGCUAUGUUGUCUACUUAUCUAAUCAUUCCAUGCAUCAGUUUGAAACCAAAAGCUUAAUUAGGUUUGUUUGGGCCAAGACACGUGUUUUUCCGUUUAUUAUUAUUUUCAUCUCUUGGAGGUGGGAUUAGGAAAUGGGAAUGUAUUAGUACUCAUUUUACAUCAGCUGCUGUGCGCCACUGCAUCUUUAUCAUCCAACAUUUUAUGUUUAAAGUAUGCUUUGUUUAAUAAACAUAUAUAAUUUCUCUCCAUCUAGUGAUACAUUUUUCUAUUUUGAUUCUUAAUUUUUAUGUUUAAACUCACAUUCAUUUGAGACAGCAUGCAGUAUUGUAGUUUACUAGAAAACGAAUGGAAUUGAUCCUGUUGUCUUACUUUGAUGAUUGUAUUCCAUUUUCUCCAAAAUCCAAAUAACUCUACCUAUUUAUUGAAUUUUUGAGUGUUUGCCUUAGUUGUUGCUUAUGGAUGUAUGAAGAUUCUUGAUGCACUCACCUCAAGAGAAAUUGUGAUUGUGGAAGUUGAUGUGGAAAGUUGAAGAAAAAAUUGGACAGGCUCCGAGGGAUGUGAUCAAUUAUAUGGUUGAAUUUAUUUUAAAAGAAAAAUCGAAGCCCUUCGUUUUCAACUUUGUCUUAACCGAUCAGUAUGAGCUGCAGUUUUUUUGUUAUGAUGUGGAUAUUGAGUGUUGGGUUUAAAUGAUUGCUUGAUCUUAGCUUGGACUCAGACUAACAUAGACUCAACUGUUAGUAUUUAAGGCUGCAUUGCCUAUAACCUCGGAACCAGCAGUGGUACAUCUGUGCUUGAAAUAGUUGCUGCUUUUGAGAAAGCUUCUGGAAAGAAAAUCCCCAUUAAACUAUGCCCUAGAAGGCUAGGAGAUGCUACAGCUGUUUAUGCUUCCACUGAAAAAGCUGAAAAAGAACUUGGUUGCAAAGCAAAAUAUGGUAUAGCAGAGAUGUGCAGAGAUCAGUGGAAGUGGGCAAGCAACAAUCAUGGGGAUACCAGUCAAAGACUUAGGCUUUAACUAAAUACUAAUUUUCUUCCCCAGUCUUUUAAAAAUGUCUCAUAGGGAGAAUUAAGUGUACAAAUACUUGUUUAAUUUAAACAAAACUGAUCUUUGAUGAUCAAAAGUUAGGAUUUAUCAAAUGUUCAAAGAUCUUGUAAAAUUCCUCUGUGUUACAUUUAUAAGUCUUUGUAAGAGUGAUGUUUUUAUAAUUUCUGAAGUUUAAAAAACAAA